UGUUGUGGCUGCCGCGGGGAGAUGGCU
RNAcentral lists this non-coding RNA (27 nucleotides) under Homo sapiens (human). Lineage: Eukaryota; Metazoa; Chordata; Mammalia; Primates; Hominidae. The record is from RNAcentral.